GAAAUAUAAAAAAAAAGCUUCUAACUUAUUUAAUAGUGAAUAAUAUCAUUAAUAUUUCU
This 59-nucleotide transfer RNA is filed under the name Rhyacophila quadrifida. RNAcentral describes it as "tRNA-Ser". The record is from RNAcentral. Lineage: Eukaryota; Metazoa; Arthropoda; Insecta; Trichoptera; Rhyacophilidae.